RNAcentral lists this unclassified non-coding RNA (1494 nucleotides) under Hevea brasiliensis (rubber tree). The record is from RNAcentral. Lineage: Eukaryota; Viridiplantae; Streptophyta; Magnoliopsida; Malpighiales; Euphorbiaceae.
GGGUACCCAAGUCAAGCUUGGCGACAAAGAGUGCGUGCUCUCUUAUUUUACUCUGUUUUGCUGAUUUCAUCUGUUCAUUUUGUGCAUCUAGUAUAUGCCGGAGCUUAUAUAUGAGUGAAUGGAACAGUAUUUGCGUUAAAUAGAGUGUGUGUGUGAGUUACAAAGGAACAAGACUCUGUAAUGGUUUUAAAAUUUCCAGCGUCUGGUUGUGAUCUAUCUAUAAAAGAAAGGGUUGAAUUUAUAGUAGCUACGACUUAAUUUAUUUCUUCUACAUUUAUUAAAUCUUUGUUUAUUAUGUAAUGAGUAUUUUUUUGGUGUGUUUCUACAGGUUUUAUUUAUACAGGGAUGAGGACUUCUUGGGUACGCUACAUGAUAAUUGAUUGAUGUUGUUGUUGUUGUUAUUUUUUUGGGUGUUUGGAUCUUUAUUCAGGCGUGGGUUCCCAUGGAUGUAACUUAUAACAUUGAAGAUUUUUAAUUGAAUCAAGUUAAUCUACUUUAAAAUAUGAGAGUGAAUUUUCUCUUUGUUGCUUUUGCAUUGUUCUUGGCUUUAAUUAGUAUUGAAUUGUAGGCUAUAUAACGGAUCUGAUGGUUUCAUCUGAAGCAUCUAGGAUUAGAGGCAUAUUAAAUUUUGAAGAUUGUUGAUGGCCGGUGAGUCGUGAUCGAUGACUAUAAUUUAGUCAUGGUGGAAAUGACUAGUGUGGCCACUAAGUGUGGUUUUGACACUUUCAUAUGUCAGAAGUCUUCCAUUGUUACUGUCAGCAAUCCUUACAAUGCCUGCUCUAUCUUUUCUUAUGAGAAUUUCAUUUGGGGAUUGAAGGGCAUGAGUAAAAAAGAUAGAUGUUGCGAUCCUUGUGAAGUUAAUUUCAAGGCAGGAAUUUGCCUUGCUCAGUUUUGCUCAGUGUGCCUUGAUAUACUAGAUGAUAUUAGACUCUGAUUAACUUUGAAUGCCAGAAAUGUGUCAUCUUAUUUUGCUUUAGGUUUAUAUCUUAAUCUUACAGUCAAGAAAAGCUCAUAGCCGCCGCCUCCAUGCUUGCCCUCCCUGUCUUUCUGAUAUCGUUCUCAUGGUCAUCUUGUAGGCAAAUGAGUACUUAAUUCGUUGAUUCUUUUGAGAUUAUCUUUAGAACUGUGCGCACCAUGGAGCUCACCUCGGAGCCAAUUGAGAAUUUGACGGUCCUCGUCACAAAUUGCAUUAUUUGUGGUAGCGUUGGGUGGUGGGUCUAAUUCAUUUCUUAAGUGGGAGUCUCAAAAGAUUCGAAAAUGAUAGUUACAUUAAUUCCUUUCCCGCUUUGUCAAAACUAAAUAAUUAUUAGAGCCGACUGUUGAACAAGAAACAAGCAAUCCACUUUCUGAAGUCAGCUGAGAUUCAUUGUGCUCAUCCAAAACUCAAAGAGUAGAGAGCUCAAUUGGCUGGUCAUUGCCAUUGGAUUGAGAGAAAUAGAGGGAAGAGAAGAAAUUUUUUUAAAUUUCUUUGUUUGGGUAUCAAAUGGAUAAGAG